Molecule: unclassified non-coding RNA, 76 nt
Filed under: Flavobacterium defluvii
Lineage: Bacteria; Pseudomonadati; Bacteroidota; Flavobacteriia; Flavobacteriales; Flavobacteriaceae
Description: Flavo-1 RNA
Source: RNAcentral
UCCCGGCCCCGAUAGAAAGGGAAAUCUUUUGAUUUUUUCUUUAAAAACCAAAAAAUUGAAGCCGGCAGAGAAAUUA